Molecule: long non-coding RNA, 486 nt
Filed under: Bemisia tabaci
Lineage: Eukaryota; Metazoa; Arthropoda; Insecta; Hemiptera; Aleyrodidae
Description: lncRNA ENSSSA3NGG000970
Source: RNAcentral
AUACCAGCAUUCAUGGCUGUUCAACCUCUCACCCGAAAGAAAUUGCUUAUCACCGUAGAUUCAGUUCAAAUUGUUGUUCAGCCUACUGUAAUCCCCUAUGAAUCGGAUACCUCUAUACAUUCUUUAUCACCAGGCAAAUUUGUUGCGGUUCAAGUCACUCAGCAAGGAAAGAAUUUAGUUGUCACUGGCUCUGUCUUGGAAAGUGAUGAAAAGCUGACAGAAUUUUCAAAAACAUUUUCUUUGCCCACUUCUAUCGCAGGAGCCAGUCUCCCAGCUGCACACUGUAUAGUUGAAAGGCUAAGACUAUUUCAUGUGAUCUUAUAGUUAGCACCGUUGAUGAUACCAUUGUGUAUAUUAACACUUCUGGUCCAAAAAUAUCAUGGUACCGUGAAGAAGGUUUAGCCAGUAUUGUUAAUGUUCAACUAAUUGAUCUUGGAGUAUCAGAGGAAGAAGCUGCAAUUGAGAAGGAAUUCAACAAUAAAGAAU